UGGCUGCUUCGAAAAACUAAUUGGAUAUUUGAUUGAUAAAUCAGUCUGGAACCUUGGAUUUUUUCUAAAAAACCAAAAAAAAAAAAAAAAAAAAGUGCUAGACUGAUUUAUAAUUUAUCAGUCUUGAAGUAUAAUUAGUUUUUCGAUAAAAAGUGCCAGACUGAUAAAUCAGUCUGGAACCUUGGAGUAAUAAGUUUCUUUCUCAAAUCUCAGGGGAUAAUUUAGCAGUUAAUAAAGUGCCAUUUUCAGUAUAAAUAUCAAACGGUACGACGCCGCAUGAGAAGGUCUAGUAAGUGGACUUACUGAAUGUUCAUGGUCUGACUGACUGCCGGAGCAGUUUGCCAUCUUGGCCAGGGUAUACAUUUCUAGGUGCACACAAAAUGCCCACCAGUGCGUGUGAGUGUGUGUAUUUAUCUUUGUUGAAGUAAGAUUGUUCUGUUCCAUUUCAGUGGGUGUCACUGAUGGGGAGCCAAGUCAGUAGAAGAUUCAUUUCCCUAGCCCAUUGUAGUUGUGGUUCUCGUACUUCUCACCACCAGUUGCAUUGCUCAUUGUAAUAUCCUGCAAUUUAAAACAAAAACAGCCUUCAACAUGAGGACACUCUGUAAACAUUUAUUUGCUAUUAGAAUUAGAAGCCCUUCUUCCUUAUUCUAUAAUUUUAAGAUAAAUGGACCAGUUGAACCAACAUGCCAAGUUCCCGUUUCUGUUGCCUCUCAAUGGCUGCUUAGUCCCAAUAUGUCAUUACUACAAACAUCUUUUUUUGAUUUAGUCAAAUUUUCAUACCCUUCGAGUCUGCCUGUUGCUUUUAAGGUUGGUGUGCGGCCCUUUUGUUCAGAAAUUGCUCCAUUGGGUCCAACAUUUGAUUGUACUGUGAAAGAUGUUGGGGAUAAUAAAUGUUUAGAAAGUGAUGGUGAGAAGUUGUACAAUGCUGUUGUCAAGCACUCUAAUGCACAUCAUAAUAUGGAGAAGACUCUUGACCAAGUUGGUGUGAAAUUGACUACUGAUUUAGUAGUACAGGUCCUUCAUAGGCUCCGGUUUGAGGAGAAAAUAGCAUUUAGGUUUUUUACGUGGGCAGGGCAUCAAGAGAACUAUGCCCAUGAGCCUCGAGCGUAUAAUGAUAUGAUUGACAUACUUUCUAGUACAAAAUACAAGGUCAAGCAGUUUCGAAUUGUUUGUGAUUUAUUGGAUUACAUGAAGAGGCAUGAUAAGAAUGCUGUACCUGUGGAAGUUCUGUUGAAAAUUUUGAGACAGUACACUGAAAAGCAUCUAACCUAUUUGCAGAAAUUUGCCAAAAAGAAGAGGAUAAGGGUGAAAACGCAGCCAGAGAUCAAUGCCUUUAACUUGCUGUUGGAUGCUUUGUGCAAGUGUAGUCUGGUUAAGGAUGCUGAAGCCAUGUUUAAGAAGGUGAAAAACAAGGUUACACCUGAUGCAAAUACUUACAAUAUAUUGUUUUUUGGAUGGUGUAGAGUAAGAAACCCAAGUAGAGGAAUGAGGGUACUGGAAGAAAUGAUUGAUUUGGGUCAUACGCCUGAUAAUUUUACUUACAAUACGGCCAUUGAUACCUUUUGCAAGGCAGGGAUGAUAACGGAAGCAGCUGAACUCUUUGAGUUCAUGAGAACGAAAGGUUCUACCAUGUCUUCUCCCACUGCUAAAACUUAUGCAAUCAUGAUUGUGGCUUUUGUCCAGAAUGAUAGAAUGGAUGAAUGCUUUAAACUUCUGGGGCAUAUGAUACACAGUGGUUGCCUUCCUGAUGUUUCAACAUACAAAGAGCUGAUUGAAGGGAUGUGUUUGGUUGGAAAGAUUGAGGAAGCUUACAAGUUCAUAGAAGAGAUGGGUAAUAAAGGUUACCCUCCUGAUAUUGUUACUUAUAAUUGUUUUCUCAAGGUCCUUUGUGACAAUCAAAAGAGUAGUGAAGCACUUAGGCUUUAUGGCAGAAUGCUUGAGGUGGGUUGUGUGCCUAGCGUGCAGACCUAUAAUAUGCUGAUUUUAAUGUUCUUUAAGAUGGCAGAUCCUGAUGGGGCAUUCGAGUCUUGGCACGAGAUGGAUAAGAGAGGCUGUGCACAGGACACAGAUACUUAUUGCUUGAUGAUUGAUGGGCUUUUUGGUUGCAAUAAGAUUGAAGAUGCAUGUUUUCUUUUGGAAGAUAUGGUAAACAAGGGAAUGAAAUUGCCGUAUCGGAAGUUUGAUUCAUUUUUGAUGCAGCUUUCGGUGAUUGGUGAUCUCCGUGCCAUCCACAGGCUUUCAGAACAUAUGAAAAAGUUCUACAAUCCUGCUAUGGCAAGACGAAUUGCACUGAAUGAGAAGCGAAAGAGCAUCAGUUUGAGAGGGAAGUAAUACUAGGAGAUAAGACACUGGUAGCCAUUGGGGUACAACUGUCUCUGUGGAUAAAUGUCAUGGCUUAGCACUGAUUGUCCAUGUCACCACAGAUCCAACCCCCAUCUCUUGAUAGUCCCACGUGGGAUAAGGAACCAUCAGGCUGGAGGCAUUAAGGGGUUGCUUGGAGAAUUUUAGUCAUCUGCUGGAUUUUGGAAAGCAGAUAUAAUUCAUUCUGAUGAUUGCUAGAUGAUUGAUAUCAUCCACGCAUCUUUGCUCAAGGAGUUAAAUUUUAGAAGUUUUUCAGCUUAAAAUCCAUCAAAACUACAUCCCCAUGUUGGAGUUUGAGAAAGGACAACUAUAGGCUCUUACUGGGAAACUAAAUUAGUUGAAAGACUGUUCUCGAAAGAUAUCAGUUGAUGGGCUCAAUGCAGCAUGUUGAAAUUGAUUUCAGUGGGCUUUUGAAGGAAAUGUAUCAGGUGCUCUAAAGCAUUUAAUGUUGACAGAACUCACCACCCUAACAGGUUGUCAAAUUUUGGCUAUAAAUGUAUUUGUACUAGGCUUGGAUCUUGAAAAGAAAAAAUAAAAAAAUAAAGAAGGCAAUCUUGCUAGCUUUAACAGUGACAAAUGGCUUUGGAGUAGCUUUUCCAAUGAUUCUGAAAAUUCUGAGUAACUAUGCUGUAUGCAAUUUUUUUUAUUCCUUUUUUUUUUUUGCCUUUUUGUUUCCCUUUUAUUUUUGAGAAUCAGGUGUCUUUGGCUUUUAAGUUGUAACAUUCUCCAUAACUGAUCAUUGUGUAUGUAUCAUAAUCUCCUGGAAUCUCUCACCAUGUCCUCUCAACAUCAGUUUUGUGUCCAAAUAUGUCUUUCGUGAACUAGAUUGCACAUCAAGUACAACCUUUUCUUUUGAGAGAUUAAUCAGGAACCAAAGCUGAGAUCCUGGUUGAAGAUAGCUAGCCUGGCAAUGUUGAUAUGGUGGAGUUUUGAAUUUUCUGUAAGUGGGUUGUGGGUAUUAGCCUAGUAUUGUUAAUUAAUAUAUGUUUUAUUUUAGGUUAUAGUGGUGUUAUUUAUACAGAAUCGAUAUAGAAUGAUUUGGCAGCAUGUUAAAUGCAGGGUAUAGGAUCUUCUGUUACACGUGACUGGAUAUUAAAAACUUAUAAUUAUUGUGUAAAGAAAUUUUUUUAAGGAUAGUAUUUUCCUUUAAUCUGUCUUCUCUCUUUGGUUUCUUUUUUGGAACGCUAAGCUCGACUGGUUGAGCAUUCAAGUAGAUGAGUGGAGACUGAAAGUUAGCGACCUUGUUUACAUUGUGAGAUGCAGCUUUCUUUUGCUGUGGUCGAAUGUUUUUUUUUUGAGAUGGGCUGGUGUCUGAAGUGGAGAAAGACCUAUGUUAUGAAUUAACAUAGGAAAAUUAUAUGAUAUCCUGGAAGUAAUGCUUUUUCUUUUUUUCCUCUUUUUUCUUUUUUACAUGAAUGAAUGGUCCAACCAUGAAUUCAAGUAUUCAACCAAUAGGAUCCAACAGUAUGUGAGAGGAGGGAGCAUUGUUUUUAGAGUACUAAAACUAAAUACUUACUCUUUUGAUUUGUAUUGUAUAAAUCAUGGACAUUGAUUUCCUUUUUC
Molecule: RNA transcript, 3924 nt
Organism: Quercus robur (English oak)
Lineage: Eukaryota; Viridiplantae; Streptophyta; Magnoliopsida; Fagales; Fagaceae
Gene name: pentatricopeptide repeat-containing protein At1g73400, mitochondrial
Exons: 4
Source: RefSeq, a predicted model, not a curated record